Molecule: ribosomal RNA, 497 nt
Filed under: uncultured bacterium
Lineage: Bacteria
Description: partial 16S ribosomal RNA
Rfam family: Bacterial small subunit ribosomal RNA
Source: RNAcentral
GACGAACGCUGGCGGCGUGCCUAAUACAUGCAAGUUGAGCGCUGAAGGUUGGUACUUGUACCAACUGGAUGAGCAGCGAAUGGGUGAGUAACGCGUGGGGAAUCUGCCUUUGAGCGGGGGACAACAUUUGGAAACGAAUGCUAAUACCGCAUAAAAGCUUUAAACACAAGUUUUAAGUUUGAAAGAUGCAAUUGCAUCACUCAAAGAUGAUCCCGCGUUGUAUUAGCUAGUUGGUGAGGUAAAGGCUCACCAAGGCGAUGAUACAUAGCCGACCUGAGAGGGUGAUCGGCCACAUUGGGACUGAGACACGGCCCAAACUCCUACGGGAGGCAGCAGUAGGGAAUCUUCGGCAAUGGACGAAAGUCUGACCGAGCAACGCCGCGUGAGUGAAGAAGGUUUUCGGAUCGUAAAACUCUGUUGGUAGAGAAGAACGUUGGUGAGAGUGGAAAGCUCAUCAAGUGACGGUAACUACCCAGAAAGGGACGGCUAACUACGUG